This is an RNA transcript of Lates calcarifer (barramundi perch), 1116 nucleotides long. It is a transcript of the gene named sterile alpha motif domain containing 10a, with no coding region annotated. The record is from RefSeq and is a predicted model, not a curated record. The transcript is spliced from 6 exons. Lineage: Eukaryota; Metazoa; Chordata; Actinopteri; Centropomidae.
GCGUUUUGGUUUUGACGUACGGAACGUGCACAUCACCGCGAGGAGCUGGGAGCAACCAAGCAGCAAAACCCGCCCGAUGGAGCUGAGUUUCGUCUGCUCUGUGUCUGGCCCCUGACUCCUCGUCUUGUCUCCCAGGCUCCCCUCCUUGUGCCCAACCCUGCUGUGGCUUGAGUCUCUACCAUCUCUCCAGCUGUCUCCCAAACCUGUUCAGUUGGUCUCCACCAUCUCUUCAUCACCAUCCUCAGUAGUUCAUGCAUGCAGGCAUGUCGAAGAAAACAGUGUGUGACAAGCAGCCGGAGAACAAGUCGACAGGCUGUCUCAAAAACGAGGGAGGCGACAGAUCAAACUACCAGACCUUUCCACAGACAAUAAAAACCAGACGCCCCACCGCUAUGCUGCUUACCUUCCAGGGAGGAAUGGCUUGUCCUCAGUUAAACUCAUGGAGGCCAGGUGGAGAGCAGGACACAGAGGAGAGGAGCUUGGCCAGUCACCGAGAGGGAGACGGACAGGGGUGAGAGACGGAGAGGGGAGAGACAGAGAGAGAGAGAAGAGCACUGGACCUGUUUCAAGCUCACACUGAACAGUCUGCUUAAGCUUUGCCUUUUGUGAUUUGGGCGCAUGCCUUGGCCAGUGACAAGUCUGCGAGGUGUGCAGGGAGCAUAACUCAGAAUCGGAUCCAUGAGUGAGCAGUGAAGAGAGUCUGAGUCAGAGGAGACGAAUUCACCAGAGCCCCUGACUGCCCUUUCUGCUCAAGUGUCUUCUUGGUAACAAACAAGAUUAAUGUGUUGUUGUCUGGGUGUGUGUGAGGUGUGAACUUAAAGGAGGCAUGUGAGGAAUACAGAAAAGAAGUAAAAUGCAAUGGAGCCCUGAAAUAAUGUGGGAAUUGUGUGGUAUAGCAGAAAUAUAUGUCUAUUUUUCACUUUAAGUAAUGAAAAAAAAGUCUAGUUUAUGUGUUGAAAGGUUGCGCCUGGAAGCAGUGGAAUAUCUCUCCUCCUCUCACUUUCUGUAUGUGCAUGAGCAUGCAUGAACCUACAUGAUUACCCAGGUUUUAUAUUUGUGUCUCGACAUCACUCCGUCUGUCGCUCAGCACUUCCAACAAAAAUUUUGGUGUCUCUC